AACGAACGCUGGCGGCAUGCCUAACACAUGCAAGUCGAACGAGACCUUCGGGUCUAGUGGCGCACGGGUGCGUAACGCGUGGGAAUCUGCCCAAAGGUUCGGAAUAACAGUUAGAAAUGACUGCUAAUACCGGAUAAUGUCGCAAGACCAAAGAUUUAUUGCCUUUGGAUGAGCCCGCGUAGGAUUAGCUAGUUGGUGGGGUAAAAGCCUACCAAGGCGACGAUCCUUAGCUGGCUGAGAGGAUGAUCAGCCACCACUGGGACUGAGACACGGCCCAGACUCCUACGGGAGGCAGCAGUGGGGAAGUAUUGGACAAUGGGCGGAAAGCCUGAUCCAGCAAUGCCGCGUGAGUGAUGAAGGCCUUA
Molecule: ribosomal RNA, 365 nt
Filed under: uncultured bacterium
Lineage: Bacteria
Description: bacterial SSU rRNA
Rfam family: Bacterial small subunit ribosomal RNA
Source: RNAcentral